AUUUUCUCAGAGCACAUAUACUAAAAUUGGAACAAUACACAAAAGAUUAGCAUGGCCCCUGUGCAAAGCUGACACACAAAUUUGUGAAGCAUUCCAUAUUUAA
Small nuclear RNA from Nycticebus coucang (slow loris), 103 nucleotides. Lineage: Eukaryota; Metazoa; Chordata; Mammalia; Primates; Lorisidae. The record is from RefSeq and is a predicted model, not a curated record.